UACAGAGGUCCCAAGCGUUGUUCGGAUUCAUUGGGCGUAAAGGGUGCGUAGGCGGCGGGGUAAGUCGGGUGUGAAAUCUCAGAGCUCAACUCUGAAACUGCACUCGAUACUGCUCUGCUUGAGGACUGGAGAGGAGACUGGAAUUCACGGUGUAGCAGUGAAAUGCGUAUAUAUCGUGAGGAAGACCAGUGGCGAAGGCGGAUCUCUGGACAGUUCCUGACACUGAGACACGAAGGCCAGGGGAGCAAACGGG
RNAcentral lists this ribosomal RNA (253 nucleotides) under uncultured bacterium. RNAcentral describes it as "partial 16S ribosomal RNA". It matches the Rfam family "Bacterial small subunit ribosomal RNA", at positions 524 to 776 of the family's 1533-position model. The record is from RNAcentral.